This 254-nucleotide ribosomal RNA is filed under the name uncultured bacterium. Its description in RNAcentral is "partial 16S ribosomal RNA". It matches the Rfam family "Bacterial small subunit ribosomal RNA", at positions 524 to 776 of the family's 1533-position model. The record is from RNAcentral.
UACGGGGGGAGCAAGCGUUGUUCGGAUUUACUGGGCGUAAAGGGCGCGUAGGCGGUCGUGACAAGUCACUUGUGAAAUCUCCGGGCUUAACUCGGAACGGUCAAGUGAUACUGUCGGACUAGAGUACAGAAGGGGCAACUGGAAUUCUCGGUGUAGCGGUGAAAUGCGUAGAUAUCGAGAGGAACACCUGCGGCGAAGGCGGGUUGCUGGGCUGAUACUGACGCUGAGGCGCGAAAGCCAGGGGAGCGAACGAG